UACGGGGGGAGCAAGCGUUGUUCGGAUUUACUGGGCGUAAAGGGCGCGUAGGCGGUAGCACAAGUCAGUUGUGAAAUCUCCGGGCUUAACUCGGAAAGGUCAACUGAUACUGUGCGACUAGAGUGCAGAAGGGGCAACUGGAAUUCUCGGUGUAGCGGUGAAAUGCGUAGAUAUCGAGAGGAACACCUGCGGCGAAGGCGGGUUGCUGGGCUGACACUGACGCUGAGGCGCGGAAGCGUGGGGAGCAAACAGG
Molecule: ribosomal RNA, 253 nt
Filed under: uncultured bacterium
Lineage: Bacteria
Description: partial 16S ribosomal RNA
Rfam family: Bacterial small subunit ribosomal RNA
Source: RNAcentral